AAAAAUUUGGGCCAAGGGAUCCUUUCGAUAGUUCAUUACUAGAGAAGCAUCUCUGAAUGUGUAGAGCACCGGAAACCCUGAGGAGGAGGCGCAGCGUCCUCUCCUGAGCGGAAGCCGGCUCUUGGUGUUGCUUUACUGCAAUGGCCACUUGCCAUUGAUGAUGGUUCUUCUCUUCCUUUGGAGGAGUAAGAGGGACAGAACGCAGUCUGCGUGG
Molecule: small nucleolar RNA, 214 nt
Organism: Otolemur garnettii (small-eared galago)
Lineage: Eukaryota; Metazoa; Chordata; Mammalia; Primates; Galagidae
Gene: U3
Rfam family: Small nucleolar RNA U3
About the family: Small nucleolar RNAs (snoRNAs) are involved in the processing and modification of rRNA in the nucleolus. There are two main classes of snoRNAs: the box C/D class, and the box H/ACA class. U3 snoRNA is a member of the box C/D class.
Source: Ensembl